AAAGAAGCAAUAAAUUUGACAGUUAUCAAAAUCACGACACGAAUUAAAAUAUCUCGGACAAAUUAGCAAAAAUUUUCGGAGUGUUUUAUAUCAAUAAAUUUAAAAAUAAGCAAAAUGUGUAACAGAAUGAACAUGAUAAACAAAUUACAAGCCAUUGUAUCUGAAAUACAACGUGGUGGUUGUCCUUCGCCAUGCUGUUCACCAUGUCAGCCCUCUCCGUGUUGUGGAGGAGCUGGCUCCCUCGUCACAGUUUACAGUCAAGUAGCACAUAUACAGUGACCCGGUGACAUGCGCUUCACCUAAAUGCAGUGCUUGCCGUAGGACAGCCUCCACAACCUGUAGCGGCUUUCGACAAAGCAGUGAUUGCUAUAGGGCACCACGGUACCAGCAUGAAGACUUGUUGAUAUUUAUAACUGAAAUUGUCCCUAGUUUUGGUUUAUACAUUGUAACGUAAAAUUGAUAUUUGAAUAAAGUUUGUGACUGUAUGUUA
Pieris napi is the source of this 490-nucleotide long non-coding RNA. RefSeq lists it as uncharacterized. The record is from RefSeq and is a predicted model, not a curated record. The transcript is spliced from 3 exons. Lineage: Eukaryota; Metazoa; Arthropoda; Insecta; Lepidoptera; Pieridae.